Molecule: unclassified non-coding RNA, 352 nt
Filed under: soil metagenome
Description: partial contains 5.8S ribosomal RNA, internal transcribed spacer 2, and large subunit ribosomal RNA
Rfam family: 5.8S ribosomal RNA (bases 1-120)
Source: RNAcentral
GAUGAAGAACGCAGCGAAAUGCGAUAAGUAAUGUGAAUUGCAGAAUUCAGUGAAUCAUCGAAUCUUUGAACGCACAUUGCGCCCGCCAGUAUUCUGGCGGGCAUGCCUGUUCGAGCGUCAUUACAACCCUCAGGCCCCCGGGCCUGGCGUUGGGGAUCGGCGGAGCCCCACGUGGGCACACGCCGUCCCCCAAAUGCAGUGGCGGUCCCGCCGCAGCUUCCAUCGCGUAGUAGCUAACACCUCGCGACUGGAGAGCGGCGCGGCCACGCCGUAAAACACCCAACUCUUCUGAAGUUGACCUCGAAUCAGGUAGGAAUACCCGCUGAACUUAAGCAUAUCAAUAAGCGGAGGA